CCUANGGGUGGCUGCAGGCGCGAAAACUUCGCAAUGUGGGAAACCACGACGAGGGAAUCCCAAGUGCCAACGAUUUUUCGUUGGCUGUUGCCCUGUCUAAAAAACAGGGAGAGUAAGGGCUGGGUAAGACGGGUGCCAGCCGCCGCGGUAAUACCCGCGGCCCAAGUGGUGCUCGUUAUUAUUGGGUUUAAAACGUCCGUAGCCGGUCCGGUAAAUUCUUGGGUAAAUCGACUGGCUUAACCAGUCGAAUUCCGGGGAGACUGCCGGACUCGGGACCGGGGGAGGUCGGAGGUACUUCCAGGGUAGGGGUGAAAUCCUGUAAUCCUGGGGGGACAACCAGUGGCGAAGGCGUCCGACCAGAACGGCUCCGACGGUAAGGGACGAAGCCCUGGGGCGCAAACGGGAUUAGAUACCCUANUANUC
Molecule: ribosomal RNA, 423 nt
Filed under: uncultured bacterium
Lineage: Bacteria
Description: bacterial SSU rRNA
Rfam family: Archaeal small subunit ribosomal RNA
Source: RNAcentral